This 489-nucleotide long non-coding RNA is filed under the name Androctonus crassicauda. The record is from RNAcentral. Lineage: Eukaryota; Metazoa; Arthropoda; Arachnida; Scorpiones; Buthidae.
CCUGAAGUCUCUACGAAACCAACUACACUGUGACGUAUUUUUUUUCAUCUACACAGUGGCGGGAUAUUUUUAAAAAUAAACACUUUAAUAAGCAAAGUACUUUCAGAUAGAUCCAACUUCAAUCCCUUACAAACUAUAGAAUGCAUUGUGAAUUCUAUGAAUUCACAACGUAUGUUCUGAUUUAUGUUUUAGGUCCAUCUCUUCCCUCCUUCAGAUUUCAUUUCCUUAUGGUUAUUGUCUUAAUGUGUCUUCUCCUUUCACUCCCAGGGUAUCUGUACACCACCAAAGAUGUUUUGAAAUUAAAUGAGCCAUUGGUGAACUUCAAAAUGGGAAAUUAUCUGAUCAAAAUUGGCUAGAUCAGAUUUGGAAAUCUCCCACACUUGUCUUAAUCAGAACCUUGUGGUUCAUGAUUAUGAACUUAUAUGUAUAAUUUAUUGGAUUAUCCCAAUGUUUCAGUAUCACAAAUUAUUAAUAUUGGUUACAAAGAUC